RNAcentral lists this ribosomal RNA (253 nucleotides) under uncultured bacterium. RNAcentral describes it as "partial 16S ribosomal RNA". It matches the Rfam family "Bacterial small subunit ribosomal RNA", at positions 524 to 776 of the family's 1533-position model. The record is from RNAcentral.
UACGAAGGGAGCUAGCGUUGUUCGGAAUUACUGGGCGUAAAGGGCGCGUAGGCGGAAUGGCAAGUCGGUCGUGAAAUCCUUCGGCUCAACCGAAGAACGUCGAUCGAAACUGCCGUUCUUGAGGAUUGCAGAGGAGACUGGAAUUCCCGGUGUAGCGGUGAAAUGUGUAGAGAUCGGGAGGAACGCCGGUGGCGAAGGCGGGUCUCUGGGCAAUUCCUGACGCUGAGGCGCGAAAGCGUGGGGAGCAAACGGG